This 451-nucleotide small RNA is filed under the name Caenorhabditis elegans. RNAcentral describes it as "Unclassified non-coding RNA F42A9.18b (F42A9.18)". The record is from RNAcentral. Lineage: Eukaryota; Metazoa; Nematoda; Chromadorea; Rhabditida; Rhabditidae.
CGACUUUCUAUCCUUUUCGCAUCAAUGAGAUCAUUUUUAUUUCGGCUAUUUUUAGCUACCACCCGCUAUAUUUUUGAUGUUGAAGUUUAAUAUGCUGAUCAACUUUUACUAAUUGGAAAUGCGUCAAGGAAAUAUUAAAGAAUUAUUAUGAUUAUUACGAAGUCCAUCCGUAUUCUAAAUGCUCACUACAAUCCACCGAAGUCAUCAACAACGACAAAGCCGGGAAACUCCUGUUUGAAAGCCGCGCCAAAAGACACACACGUCACGAGUGUUACAGUACUACCACACAUGCACAUCAAACCCCAACACGUCGACACCGCGCAAGGAAAUCGUCACUUCUUCGUUUUACUCUCGGACCGGCAGGUCGCACGUUAAAUAUAUGAGCUUUAUCAUUUUUAUCAUUCAACGGAUUUAUUAGUAAUAAAUUAUAUAAUUCUACCACUUUUGAACC